GUCAAGUCAUCAUGGCCUUUAUGUCCAGGGCUGCACACGUGCUACAAUGGCGCGGACAGAGGGACGCCAGUUCGCAAGAACAAGCCAAUCCCAAAAACCGCGCCCCAGUUCGGAUUGCGGGCUGCAACUCGCCCGCAUGAAGCCGGAAUCGCUAGUAAUCGCCGGUCAGCAAUACGGCGGUGAAUGUGUUCCUGAGCCUU
Molecule: ribosomal RNA, 200 nt
Filed under: uncultured organism
Description: partial small subunit ribosomal RNA
Rfam family: Bacterial small subunit ribosomal RNA
Source: RNAcentral